GACAUAGGUGGCGAACGUUAUCCGGAUUUAUUGGGCGUAAAGGAUGCGUAGAUGGUGGAAUAAGUUAUUGGUCGAGGUCAAGCUCAACUUGGCGGAAGCUGAUAAUACUGUUCUACUUGAGGACAGGAGAGGUUGGCGGAAUUCUGUGUGGAGCGGUGAAAUGCGUUGAUCUACAGAGGAACACCAAAAAGGGCGAAGGCAGCCAACUAUUCUGAUCCUGACAUUGAGGCAUGAAAGCGUGGGGAGCAAACCGG
This 254-nucleotide ribosomal RNA is filed under the name uncultured bacterium. RNAcentral's name for it is "partial 16S ribosomal RNA". It matches the Rfam family "Bacterial small subunit ribosomal RNA", at positions 524 to 776 of the family's 1533-position model. The record is from RNAcentral.